Molecule: ribosomal RNA, 433 nt
Filed under: uncultured bacterium
Lineage: Bacteria
Description: partial 16S ribosomal RNA
Rfam family: Bacterial small subunit ribosomal RNA
Source: RNAcentral
AACGAACGCUGGCGGCAUGCCUAACACAUGCAAGUCGAACGAGACCUUCGGGUCUAGUGGCGCACGGGUGCGUAACGCGUGGGAACCUGCCCUUAGGUUCGGCAUAACUCCCCGAAAGGGGUGCUAAUACCGGAUAAUGUCUUCGGCCCAAAGAUUUAUCGCCUUUGGAUGGGCCCGCGUUGGAUUAGCUAGUUGGUAGGGUAAAAGCCUACCAAGGCGACGAUCCAUAGCUGGUCUGAGAGGAUGAUCAGCCACACUGGGACUGAGACACGGCCCAGACUCCUACGGGAGGCAGCAGUGGGGAAUAUUGGACAAUGGGCGAAAGCCUGAUCCAGCAAUGCCGCGUGAGUGAUGAAGGCCUUAGGGUUGUAAAGCUCUUUUAACCGGGAUGAUAAUGACAGUACCGGGAGAAUAAGCUCCGGCUAACUCCGUG